Molecule: ribosomal RNA, 656 nt
Filed under: uncultured bacterium
Lineage: Bacteria
Description: bacterial SSU rRNA
Rfam family: Bacterial small subunit ribosomal RNA
Source: RNAcentral
GGGAUAACAUUCUGAAAAGAAUGCUAAUACCGCAUGACAUAUCGGAACCACAUGGUUCUGAUAUCAAAGAUUUUAUCGCUUGAAGAUGGACUCGCGUCCGAUUAGUUAGUUGGUGAGGUAACGGCUCACCAAGACCGCGAUCGGUAGCCGGACUGAGAGGUUGAACGGCCACAUUGGGACUGAGACACGGCCCAGACUCCUACGGGAGGCAGCAGUGGGGGAUAUUGCGCAAUGGGGGCAACCCUGACGCAGCAACGCCGCGUGAAGGAUGAAGGUUUUCGGAUUGUAAACUUCUUUUAUUAAGGACGAAAAAUGACGGUACUUAAUGAAUAAGCUCCGGCUAACUACGUGCCAGCAGCCGCGGUAAUACGUAGGGAGCAAGCGUUGUCCGGAUUUACUGGGUGUAAAGGGUGCGUAGGCGGCUUUGCAAGUCAGAUGUGAAAUCUAUGGGCUCAACCCAUAAACUGCAUUUGAAACUGUAGAGCUUGAGUGAAGUAGAGGCAGGCGGAAUUCCCCGUGUAGCGGUGAAAUGCGUAGAGAUGGGGAGGAACACCAGUGGCGAAGGCGGCCUGCUGGGCUUUAACUGACGCUGAGGCACGAAAGCGUGGGUAGCAAACAGGAUUAGAUACCCUGGUAGUCCACGCUGUAAACGAUGA